This is a non-coding RNA of Microcebus murinus (gray mouse lemur), 371 nucleotides long. Lineage: Eukaryota; Metazoa; Chordata; Mammalia; Primates; Cheirogaleidae. The record is from RefSeq and is a predicted model, not a curated record.
ACACGGGACUCCAGGUUGUCCAUCUGCAGCUGGAGCCGCUUGAGUGUGCGGUCUGCAUCCUGAGUCUUGCGCUUGUAGGCAACCAGCACGGCGGUGAUGGCCAGCAGCAAGAGCCCACCCCCUGCUGCCAGUCCCACCAUGGCAGGCAAGGUCUGCAUCCUAAACCUCUAAUGCAACAGCAGGAGAAGAAAGGCAGGCAAAAGAGAAGAGAGGCCACAUCCUGCCCUCACCUUCUCCAGGAAGACAAGCUUAGGGACAGGCUGGAGACAGGUCAGCAGAGAGACCUGGAGAGGCAAGAUUUGCAGCCCAAGAUCCCACCCCAGCCCCCACCUAGACGGGGUCUCGCUCUAUCACCCAGGCUGGAGUGCAGU